GUAACCUUUGUAGGGCACAUUGAAAAGAAAAUAGGAAAAUAAAAGAAGUUGACCGAAAACUCUAAAAACGAAGGGGAGAGAGGACAAGAGGUAGAGAGGCGAAAAUGCCAUUGGGAAAAUAUUACUGUGAUUACUGCGACAAAUAUUUCCAGGACACUCCUUCUGCUAGGAAACGCCAUCUUCAAGGUCUCCAGCACCUCAGAGCCAAAGCUCUCUGGUACGACUCCUUCAAAGAUCCCCAUCAACCUUAUGCUGAAAGCUUCGGCAAAGGGGUUUGCAACCGCUUUGUCAAUACGGGAUUUUGCCAAUAUGGGGAUUCUUGCAGAUACGUUCAUCCCAUGAACAGGAUGCAGAAUUUGAAUCCUCAAGGGAUAUCGGGUUUCGCUGAUAGUAGUCAGCUACCAACUUUUCAAGGAAAUCAAUUAUUUGGAGGUAGCUCUGUGCCAGGUGAUAUGGUUAGAGAUAGAAUGGGAAUGUCAUGGGGUAAUCUACCUCCAUCACUAAAGCCUCCUCCAGAGUGCGGAUAUCCGAUGUUUCCCUUUGUGGACUGGGGUUAGGCGUGCUGAGUUGUUUGUCUAUAAUUUUUCAUAGUGAGAAUCAUCUGAUGAAUGUUAGCAUUCUACAUGUGAGGGGGUCAGUUGUGCUUCAGCACAACAGAAAAGACAAAGGCAAGGCUGGCAAACAGCAUGCACAUUGCUGUCAAAAUGAGAAUGUCUGCGCCUAUUCUUUCGUGGCGUAGGCUUCUCACUGAUGCCAUACAUAAGAUCCAUCUGGAAAUAUUGGGCACUUGCAAGCUGAUGUGCAGUUUUUUGUAUCACAGUAAAAACUGAUUGAGGUCAGUGCAUUCAUUGCAUAUUGGAAUGGGUUGCUCCAAUACAUCCACUGGUAGAAUUUUAUAUCUGAUAGCACAACUACUACCCCAGAAGCAGAAACCCAGAGUGAUGUCACGAUGGACAUGGCAAAUGCAGCUAAUGUUGGCACUGGUGAUAGGAAGGUGAUCAUCAUUCCAAAGUAGGUCAUGCAAAGUGUGAAAAUCAAAAGCACUAUCCAAUACAUUAGGAGUUCUGCGGCAGAUCCUGUCCCAGUACCUGCCAUGCCAUUCCCAAUUGCUACAGCUGCAAGUGUUGCGAAGCAGAUGUAAGGAAUCUCACCCAUUGCCCAUGAUCAUGGAUAGAAGAUUGGAAGAUACAUUCCAGCUCUUUUUUCUCUCAAGUAUACUAACUUGUCUGUGCCAAGCUGGGGAAUAACAUUGUUUGCUGAAAUCACUCCUAUGAGUAUAACUUGCAUGUAGAUGUAUAAUGCUCGUGAAGUUACCCUAUAUUCGUCCUUAUAUCCAAUUUGGAAGUACAGGGAACCCAUUAGAAGACCUAUCAUCACGCACACUAUAAGUCUACCAUAUGUAUAUUGGAUGUUCCUCCAUAACAAUCUUAAUGUUCUUAGUAGUACUAAAAGGGCUUGCUGUAAAUAUGGAGCUGGGUAACUAGAAGAUUUAUCCACCAUUUCUCUGUUCUUCAUCAACUCUUUUAUACUGAGAAUUUUUUUAUUGUUUAUCUCAUGUAAAGAGCUUUCUUGAUAGACCUCAGCGAAAUUCAUUUGAGGUGAUGCCUCUCUAUUUAAAUUCCUAAUCCCAGAGCUCCCACGACAAAUUGAACUGGACUUUCUCUUGUGGAAUAACGAGGUGCCAUUGGGAUUGAUGUGAAAUAUGCUAACAAUUUGUGGCAGUUAGAUCCUGUUGGCCCAAAGUAUGCUUGAUUUCCUUCUCCUGUUAGAAUGAGAACCUGAUCAAAGAAAGAGAGUGUGCGUGCAUUAGGAUGUGAUAGAGAGGCAACAAUGACUCGCCCUGAAUUUGACACUUGUGAGAAUUCUGAGGAUGGAUUGGAUUUCUGUGAUAUCGAGACCUGAAAGUGGUUCUUCAAGAAGGAUAAGACUUGGAUUUGCGGCCAGUUCAACUGCAAUAGUUAUCUUUUUGGCUAUUUCAAAUGUCUUUCUGGUGGCAUCAUGAAGAGAACCAACAAGUUUGUUGGUGUAGGGCAGUAAAUCAAGUUGAUUCAGAACCAGUUCAACAUGGAUUUGGUGGCUCAUGGGGCUAAUUCCUUGGUCAAGGCGAAGUGCGGCACUGAAUUAAAGAGACUCACGAAGAGAGAGGUAAUGUUGGUGGGCAUCAAGCUUCUCAACAUAGCCUGUCAAUCUAGAGAAGGUUGCACUUAUCUUGAUACCAUUUGCCUGGAGGUUUCCUCUGAUGCUUCCAGUUAGAGGUGCACCAGGUGUGAAGUUGGGAAAGGAUGUAGUAAGUAGACUUCAUAGUUUAAAGGAUAAAGUACUAGACCUUGAGAAAGAUAAUUCCUCAAAUAGAAGGGUAACUGGCUUCACUGGAAUGCCUAGCCCCUUUCUUUCCAGGUCAACACGAAAGUCCUCAAUCCAUUUCUCGACUCCACCACUAUUAUCAUCUUGUUGUAGCCUCUCUUUGAAGUUUGUGGUCCAUAACAGCUAGAAGAACUGUAAUCAUCAGAUUGCUCCUUAUGGCUACUGUUUGGUUGAAAUUCACUUUCCCUGUCUUUCUUAUAGUUGCUAAGCACUGGACUGUUUUUAAGGUGGGGUAGUCCUGGGCUCAUUCCAGUAAAAUCUAUUUUCUUCAAUCCUAACAGUGUUAACAAAUUUGCAAGAACAAUCCAACCCAAGAGAAUGGCAAAAGGUAGCCAUGGUCUCUCAGCAUCUUCGUAAGCUCAUAAAAAUUCAGGUAGGCAUUUCCAACUGUCAUUGUAUGAUGUUUGUCACAGAAAGAAAGUUGACCAAGGUAGUUGGAGCAGGGCUCUUUGUAGUCCUUGUAAAAUUGGGUUCUGCAAAAUGAGACAUUAGCCCAGUGAAUUGGGUUCACAUAAGUAAGCCAUUUCCAGUAUGUUGGUAUAUUGGAUGGGUAGAUCACAAAGCCACUGAAGAGUAGGAAGAUUGAAACAAGUAGACCUGCAACAGUGCAUUGUUGGAAGUGUCAGUAUGUAGUUGAUAGAUUAGAGGGUUAAACAGUAUCAACUUAAAGGAUUAAAACAUAAUCUGAUGUACUACUAAGGUAGUUGGGUUUACAUAUUAAUGAUAAAUUAAAUGCUUAAAAGCUAUUUAUGGAUAAGACUUGACUGCUGGAGUACUCAUGGUGUGUGAAAGAAGACCCACCAUCCCUACCAUGUAACUUCAGAUAUGCUAACUGCUUGUGUUAACGCUUCAGUUAGUGAAACCACAUUAUCAUUUAAACUGCUAUCUGAUAUAACCAGAUAUCACUUGUUUUAUGUUUUCAUAAUGCUUCUUAAUGUAUCAAAAAUCAGUCAAGGAUGUGAUCACAGGAAGAACAUUUUCUCAGAGGAAAAGAGUUACCUGCCAAAGCGUUUCCUACUUCUGGAAUUGAAGAGAUGGUGCUGAGUAAGAAGAAGACUGAUGAACCAAAAUACGCUACUAAGAAAAAGAGAACCAGAUACUCAAAUAAUGGUCCCCCAUGUCCUGCCAGUGAUAGCCCAGCAAAAAAGUGAACAGAGAGAGUAUAGGAUAGUGCCUGCAAAAAUUAAUAUGUAUCUGAGUUCUAUGGGAGCUAAGGUUAAUUCUAUUGAGAAAAAGUAAUAGUCAAAGAGUACUUCUAGGAGGGUCUGUGGGAGAUUGACUAUGCCGUUUGCAACUAUGUAAGAGGAAGUUCUGAAGAAUCUCUGGUUGCGAUGCUUGUUAAAAAUUGGCCUUUGAAGCAUGUAGACAGGAAGCUGUACUAAAUUUAUGAGCAUUAUGGUCAUGGUGGACACAUACCCUAGGGCUCUUAUUGAGUUCAUUUUCUGUUGGUUGUAUUCACCCCCAAGUUUGUAAAAAAGUGUCCCUGCUAACAAACCCAGCACAAUGGCCUGCAAGGUUUAAAGACAGAUUAAUUUUAUAGAAAGAUAUUUUAUUCUUGAUUAGGAU
This is an RNA transcript of Ziziphus jujuba (common jujube), 3930 nucleotides long. It is a transcript of the gene named zinc finger CCCH domain-containing protein 3, with no coding region annotated. The transcript has 7 exons. The record is from RefSeq and is a predicted model, not a curated record. Lineage: Eukaryota; Viridiplantae; Streptophyta; Magnoliopsida; Rosales; Rhamnaceae.